AGUGAACGCUGGCGGUAGGCCUAACACAUGCAAGUCGAACGGCAGCACAGUAAGAGCUUGCUCUUACGGGUGGCGAGUGGCGGACGGGUGAGGAAUACAUCGGAAUCUACUUUUUCGUGGGGGAUAACGUAGGGAAACUUACGCUAAUACCGCAUACGACCUACGGGUGAAAGCAGGGGAUCUUCGGACCUUGCGCGAUUGAAUGAGCCGAUGUCGGAUUAGCUAGUUGGCGGGGUAAAGGCCCACCAAGGCGACGAUCCGUAGCUGGUCUGAGAGGAUGAUCGGCCACACUGGAACUGAGACACGGUCCAGACUCCUACGGGAGGCAGCAGUGGGGAAUAUUGGACAAAGGGCGCAAGCCUGACCCAGCCAUACCGCGUGGGUGAUGAAGGCCUUCGGGUUGUAAAGCCCUUUUGUUGGGAAAGAACAGCAGCAGGUUAAUCCCCCGCUGUUCUGACGGUACCCAAUGAAUAAGCACCGGCUAACUUCGUG
Molecule: ribosomal RNA, 492 nt
Filed under: uncultured bacterium
Lineage: Bacteria
Description: partial 16S ribosomal RNA
Rfam family: Bacterial small subunit ribosomal RNA
Source: RNAcentral